GACGAACGCUGGCGGCGUGCUUAACACAUGCAAGUCGAGCGAUGAAGCUUCUUCGGAAGUGGAUUAGCGGCGGACGGGUGAGUAACACGUGGGUAACCUGCCUCAUAGAGGGGAAUAGCCUUCCGAAAGGAAGAUUAAUACCGCAUAAGAUUGUAGUACCGCAUGGUACAGCAAUUAAAGGAGCAAUCCGCUAUGAGAUGGACCCGCGUCGCAUUAGCUAGUUGGUGAGGUAACGGCUCACCAAGGCGACGAUGCGUAGCCGACCUGAGAGGGUGAUCGGCCACAUUGGGACUGAGACACGGCCCAGACUCCUACGGGAGGCAGCAGUGGGGAAUAUUGCACAAUGGGGGAAACCCUGAUGCAGCAACGCCGCGUGAGUGAUGACGGUCUUCGGAUUGUAAAACUCUGUCUUCAGGGACGAUAAUGACGGUACCUGAGGAGGAAGCCACGGCUAACUACGUGCCAGCCGCCGCUGUAA
This 478-nucleotide ribosomal RNA is filed under the name uncultured bacterium. Its description in RNAcentral is "partial 16S ribosomal RNA". It matches the Rfam family "Bacterial small subunit ribosomal RNA", at positions 28 to 523 of the family's 1533-position model. The record is from RNAcentral.